This 429-nucleotide ribosomal RNA is filed under the name Bacteroidota bacterium. RNAcentral's name for it is "Bacteroidetes bacterium partial 16S ribosomal RNA". It matches the Rfam family "Bacterial small subunit ribosomal RNA", at positions 355 to 776 of the family's 1533-position model. Lineage: Bacteria; Pseudomonadati; Bacteroidota. The record is from RNAcentral.
UAGGGAAUCUUCCGCAAUGGACGCAAGUCUGACGGAGCAACGCCGCGUGAGUGAAGAAGGAUUUCGGUUCGUAAAACUCUGUUGUUAGAGAAGAACAGCGCAUAGAGUAACUGUUAUGCGUGUGACGGUAUCUAACCAGAAAGCCACGGCUAACUACGUGCCAGCAGCCGCGGUAAUACGUAGGUGGCAAGCGUUGUCCGGAUGUAUUGGGCGUAAAGCGAGCGCAGGCGGUCAAUUAAGUCUGAUGUGAAAGCCCCCGGCUCAACCGGGGAGGGUCAUUGGAAACUGGUUGACUUGAGUGCAGAAGAGGAGAGUGGAAUUCCAUGUGUAGCGGUGAAAUGCGUAGAUAUAUGGAGGAACACCAGUGGCGAAGGCGACUCUCUGGUCUGUAACUGACGCUGAGGUUCGAAAGCGUGGGUAGCAAACAGG